CAAGUGGGAUGGCGGCGGCGGCAGGAAAAUGGGCAGGGCGGGGAUGGUUGUUUCCAGGAACAAAGCAGGCAGGAUGCUGUGCAGGACUGCCAUGAAGAUGACUUAUUCUCCUCCUUCCAUGAAAUCAAAUGGGCCGAGCACCUGCACCUUUACUUUACCACUAAUCCAGCUCCUCAUCAUCACUAUCCAUGGACACUGUAAAGGCCUCUGAUCUGCUCCCCUGGACAUCUGAAUUCCCCUGUUUACUACCUCGUCCUAGUUCUCUUGGUUUUCUGUCAUCAGUCUGCACUCCCCUGCACAUGGAAUUAUUUGUACAGCACAUUUGACUUAUUUUUGCCGAGAAGGUUGUUUUCAUUCCUGUUUGUCUGAUAGUCUGAUCGCUGGAUUAGAGAAAAACUAGUAAAACUUGGUAGUAGGAUGGUGUAUGGGUCAAGUGAGUACCCAUUAACUUUUGGCGCAACAUUGAAAUUAGAUGUUUAAGUGUUCAAUCAGCCCUGGUGAAAGUACCCCCUUCUACCCUUGUGGAUGAUAUAUUCCUUCAACACUGAAUCUGUUUGAUUGUCUCCACACUUUUGAGUCUCUUAA
Pleuronectes platessa (European plaice) is the source of this 585-nucleotide long non-coding RNA. RefSeq lists it as uncharacterized. The transcript has 3 exons. Lineage: Eukaryota; Metazoa; Chordata; Actinopteri; Pleuronectiformes; Pleuronectidae. The record is from RefSeq and is a predicted model, not a curated record.